Long non-coding RNA from Daphnia pulex (common water flea), 519 nucleotides. RefSeq lists it as uncharacterized. Lineage: Eukaryota; Metazoa; Arthropoda; Branchiopoda; Diplostraca; Daphniidae. The transcript has 3 exons. The record is from RefSeq and is a predicted model, not a curated record.
ACGGAUUGCCAUAAGUAUGUUAACUAAAUGUUCUCAUGUAUAUUUACCAGUCCAUUUGUCAUAAUUUGACACGUAAUGACGCCCAUUGUUGAAGCAAGCCACUUAGCCAGGAAUUCUAAGCUGUCAUCAAUCCUACAGCUGUACUGUAGUAUGCCUAUGCAUGUUUUGUAGAUGGUGAAUCUCAAGUGAAACUAAGAACUUUGAGUCGUCAUUACAUAUAAUUGACUAUCGUUUCCAAUUUUGAUAAUGUAAUCCACAACAACACAGCUAUGCGUUCAACACAGCAUUCACUCACUCACAACACAGCAUGCUGGUUCAACAAUUAUAGCGGGCAAUCCACACGCCAUGGAACAAAUGGUGGAGCUAACCUGUGACGAUUAACUUUUAAUUCAUUUUCCCGUGUAACGAAACCCACACUUUGAUUUCUCUACUCCUUCUGUGAACACCACGUGUGAAGUGGUGGAACUGUAAUUUAAAAAUGUAAAAGCAUUUACCCUUAAAUAAAUAUUUUCAUUUGAA